RNAcentral lists this long non-coding RNA (866 nucleotides) under Rattus norvegicus (Norway rat). RNAcentral describes it as "RIKEN cDNA 1700067P10 gene like, transcript variant 2 (1700067P10Rikl)". Lineage: Eukaryota; Metazoa; Chordata; Mammalia; Rodentia; Muridae. The record is from RNAcentral.
ACAACUUGUCCCGCUUGGACUUUCAAGGACUCAGAAAGCUAGUGCUAGAGGUAGGGAACUUGAAGUGUCCAGUCUGUCCCUUGUGCCACUUCUCCUCUCGCCCUCAGUCACAUGUCAGUUCCCAUCGAAGACUGUAUGCACGAAAAGAAGAGCAUGUCCUUGGGAAAAAUGGAGGAUGAUUUCGAAGUCAGGAAAGCCCGACUUUACAAGGGGUUGAGGUGGAAGACCCAGACCCAGGACGUCCAGCACUCCCACUCACCUGGGAAUGAGCUCUGCCCCUCCACGGAACACGCUUCAAAGGUCUGCCUGUGUGGGUGCAGCUUGCGGACAAAAGUGGUCCUCCAUCCCAGGCCGGACCCACUUCCGGCCCCUCGGGUGCCUCCCAGCUUACCAUCGGAGAGGAAGACACUGGUUUCCAGGGAUACAGUUUUUCCCGUUCAGCUCUCGAAUGACUCAUUGAAGGAAAAAGCUGAGGGUAAGCCCCAGCUGUUACCUUGGCGUGACCCGGUACCUCUGCGCCAGCUGGUGCCCAUGAGCGUGUGGCCCAAGGGCUUUAUUGACCCGCUCCCCAAGCUUUUGCCAGAGAAAGCUUUGAGCACCCUUAUCCAUAUUGAAGGGAUUCACAUCCCCAGGGCAGUAUCCCCCGUGAUGGCACUGGGGAAAGAUACCAAAUCCUCUCUGCCACCUUUACUGAAAUGAGCGUGUCCACUCAAUUAAUCACUAAUUUUCUGUAUCUACUGUAAACAUAUGAAGCUAUUUUAAUGGAGAAUAUAUUUAUAUUCUCAUUAUGACCCCAGUGGGGACUUCCAGAACACUGUAUCCCAAUGUAUCUUUCAAAAUACAUUUCUAUAUAUCUUUGUGUGUGA